This 193-nucleotide ribosomal RNA is filed under the name uncultured bacterium. RNAcentral describes it as "partial 16S ribosomal RNA". It matches the Rfam family "Bacterial small subunit ribosomal RNA", at positions 1308 to 1500 of the family's 1533-position model. The record is from RNAcentral.
CAACUCGACUACAUGAAGCUGGAAUCGCUAGUAAUCGCGGAUCAGAAUGCCGCGGUGAAUACGUUCCCGGGUCUUGUACACACCGCCCGUCACACCAUGGGAGUCGGGAAUGCCCGAAGCCAGUGACCCAAGCGAGAGCAGGGAGCUGUCGAAGGCAGGCCGGAUAACUGGGGUGAAGUCGUAACAAGGUAAC